CCUUUCUUCAAAUAUCUAAAAUUUUUUCAGAGAUUGAAGAUGAACUUCUAGAGGAGAUGAAGAGGUGAAAGAAAGAUAAAAAAAAAAUAAUUUUUUUAAUUUAUUCUCUCUUCCCAAAUUCUUAGAAUCAAAAAUCUGAAAUUCAGGUUUUUGCGCAUACCCCAAGAGAGAAAACCCUCCUCUCUAUUUUUCACAUCAUGAACCAUGCCC
Molecule: long non-coding RNA, 210 nt
Filed under: Elaeis guineensis (African oil palm)
Lineage: Eukaryota; Viridiplantae; Streptophyta; Magnoliopsida; Arecales; Arecaceae
Description: long non-coding RNA (EGUI_LNC032303)
Source: RNAcentral